Cryptomeria japonica (Japanese cedar) is the source of this 2370-nucleotide RNA transcript. RefSeq lists it as uncharacterized. NCBI's taxonomy places the organism in Eukaryota, Viridiplantae, Streptophyta, Pinopsida, Cupressales, Cupressaceae. The record is from RefSeq and is a predicted model, not a curated record. The transcript has 12 exons.
UUACUACUGCAAAAUCUAUGAAACCCCUUGUUGUAAAAGCUCUUAGAAAUUCAAGACGUGCGAAGUUUUAAGAGGCUCCAUGGUACUGCUACUUAAGGGAUAAAUCGUUUAAGCAGUCUUACGAAUAGUGGUUAAAUUGGUCCACUUUCAAUGAAAAAUUAAAUCCCUGAGUUGAUAGCUGGAUAGUCCCCUGUAAAUUGUAAACAGAUAUUUGAAGUUAGGGCCUAAGUUUGAAAAUGAUGCCCCCCGGAGAAGCUCUAGAAAAUGGCGCGAUCUCAGGGGAGGGUCGGAUGCUCAAAAGAAAUCAACGUUACGGAUCUGCUGUUUACGGGUAUACUCCCUUGCAAGUGAUCCACAUACUUGGGAGAUUCAUGCGUCUGUGGUCUGUUUAUGCAACAUACCAAUAUUUGUCCCAGACUGGUGUCUCAGUUAUUGUGUUCAUGUUUAUUUGUAUACUUUCAUCAACAAUGAUCUUUUUAGUGCUACAGAAACCAUGGAAAGGCCGACCUCUGUCUACUUCGCAGGUGGUGCCUUCAGUAAUUAAUGGAGGAAUAACGGCACUAUAUUUCUUACUAUGGGGGAAGGGACUUGAAUCUUGUGGUCCAGUAAGGGCAGUCUUAGCAGAGUAUGCAGGGGCUGUGCUUGGAGUUUUAUCGGCAUUCUUGUAUGGGCGAGGUGGUCAAAUUUGGAAGAAGGUGGGCGGACUCAUUGCAAUGGCAGCAUCUUUUUAUUUUUUGUCUCAAGGAUGGACCAUGGCAAGCUAUUCACCAUUCACAAUAAAAGAAAGCUCAGGGGAAGAUGUGUCUAUGUAUGAGGAAGGUAAAGUUGGGUUGCAUAAGAUGAUUGCUCCUAUUAUUGCUGGAGUUCUAUCAGCCUUGAGAAGAGUGAUUGCUCGGCGUGUUUCAUUGAAGACACAGCAGAAGAGGCGGCUUCAUGCUGUAACUAUUGCUUCUGCCACUUGCUUUAUAUUUCCUUUUGCUAUAUGGCAGUUAACUUUAGGGCCAAAUUUAGAGAAAAGUGAGCAUUCCACAUCUCCUACCUGGGCUUAUUUGAGCACCAUUUUAUUUGGAAUCGUGCUGAUAUAUUAUGUGGAUUCAUUUGUUGAAGACAGAUUACAUGUCAUGGCUUCUUCCCCAAAGCAUCUUAUGGUCACUGGAGGAUGUAUCAUUGUUUUUGAGAUUGUUUACAAAAUGGACUUCAGCCUUAUAGGAUUUCUGAUUUGCACUACAAUUCUGGGCUUAGGGAUGUUUGAAGCAACUUCUUUAGAACGUGCAAGGCGAGAUUCUAUUUAUGCUGUGAAUGCAGCUGGUGAAGAAUUUGAUGAUUCAAUUACAAUGUCUCCACUUCCUUCUUAGCUAUGGGCCUUCUAUGCUGUUCCUUUUCCCCUGGAAUCAUUUCCUUCAUUAUAUGUGAUGGAUGAAUAAUAACUAGCGCCAGUUAGAAAGUUUUGCAUGCCCAUUGCAAGCGAUGGAAAAGGUGAUGGAUGCCAACUCAAGGAAGAGAUUUCCAAAAAGGUGAAGAUGAAACAAGAGAAGUAGUUGGAAAGAUGAUUCCACAAUGCAAAUGAAGGACGACAUUCACGCUUCAAGGUGGAAUCCAAGGAUGAAAGGAACAAAGAAGGACUUAUACUGCAUCAAGACAUUCAAGAAGAUUAAGUCAAGACACAAUGAGAAUGAAGAAAUUUUUCUAAUCAUCUUGUAUUUCCUUCAUAAAUCGAAGGGUAAGGGUCAAUCCAAGGAGGUAAUUCUGGUUAAGGAACGUUGCAACAUGAAGUCAAGAACUCCACCCAGGAAACCAAGUCCAAGGCAAAGAAUUUAAUAAUAAAGGAAGGAAGACAGUUUCAAGAGAGUUAAUCAAAGUUCAAAACUUGAUCAUCCAAAAGAUAUUGCUUAAAGUAUUAGCACUUCUUCAUGAUGGGGAAUCAAAUUUGCAAGGCAAGCUGAGGUCGCAUCCCAGUCAUCAAUCAACCAAUCCAAGGGUUCCAAGUUAGGGACAUCCAAGUGCAAUGAACCAUACUUAGCAAGUGCAAGAUAUUGAAUGAUUUUCAGUGGCUUCUAUUUUCUCAUUGGUUACCCAAAGUAUUGUAAUUUCUCAUUGGCUGAAAGGAGUUUUUUGCUAGCUUGCCCUAAGUAGGGUUUAAUGUUUUAAUCUUGGUCAUUGAGCUUGGAUCAAUUUGGGCCUUUGCUUUGUAAUGUGGUUCCUAUAUAAACCCUCCUCUCAUUUGUAAAGGGAGAGAUUUUAGAGAAAUUGCUGUAAUAAUACUUCUUAAUUGCUAAGACAUUAUUCAUCAUUCAAUUGUUGGUAGAUUUUGUCUACUUUUGCAAGUUAGCAUGGUUUCUUGGCUCUCAAUAGAAUAGGUCUUAUUUUCAA